Cordylochernes scorpioides is the source of this 73-nucleotide non-coding RNA. Lineage: Eukaryota; Metazoa; Arthropoda; Arachnida; Pseudoscorpiones; Chernetidae. The record is from the annotation of a GenBank genome assembly.
AAUGCAUCGUCCGGGAAUCGAAAGCGGGCCGCCCGCGUGGCAGGCAAGCAUUCUACCACUGAACCACAAUGGU